AUGUUGAACAACAUAAAAAUUGUAUUCUGGAAUGUCCGUGGCCUGAAUUGCCGUGCGAGACGCACUGCCGUCCGCAGCAUGGUCUCCUCCGCUGCGCCGUCCAUCAUCUGUCUCCAAGAAACCAAACUCUCCAUGGUCUCGCCUGAUGUCAUCGCCCAGACCCUGGGUCCUGAGUUCGCCGACUACUACUGGCUACCUACGGAUGGUAUGCGAGGUGGCAUCAUCCUCGCUUGGCGAGCGGAUCACGUCUCCCUCUCUAACCGUGCCGUUGGCCUAUACCACGUCUCCGCCACCGUGAUGCCCGCCUCGGGCGGCCCCCCGUGGUGGACCACGGAUGUCUACGGGCCACAGGCAGAU
RNAcentral lists this ribosomal RNA (357 nucleotides) under Triticum aestivum (bread wheat). RNAcentral's name for it is "partial small subunit ribosomal RNA". Lineage: Eukaryota; Viridiplantae; Streptophyta; Magnoliopsida; Poales; Poaceae. The record is from RNAcentral.